RNAcentral lists this non-coding RNA (26 nucleotides) under Homo sapiens (human). Lineage: Eukaryota; Metazoa; Chordata; Mammalia; Primates; Hominidae. The record is from RNAcentral.
UGAGUGUAGUGUGGUAGGACCCCGGC